AAGACUAUAGACCUGCGGAGUACCUGCGGAAGGAUCAUUUAAUGAGUUUGACAACAGGACCUGAUGCUGGCUUUUUUCAAAAGCAUGUGCUCGGUUCUACUCUCAAUCCAUUUAACACCUGUGCACUUUCAAAGUGAUAGUCCCUAGCUAGCCAGAGAUGGCUUGGCUGGGAUUGCGCUUUGCCCCUCUUAUCACAAACCCCAAACUUUGUCUUGUAGAAUGUUACAUUAGCCUAUGGGC
This 240-nucleotide unclassified non-coding RNA is filed under the name soil metagenome. Its description in RNAcentral is "partial contains 5.8S ribosomal RNA, internal transcribed spacer 2, and large subunit ribosomal RNA". The record is from RNAcentral.